This 168-nucleotide small nucleolar RNA is filed under the name Myotis davidii. Its description in RNAcentral is "Small nucleolar RNA SNORA67". It matches the Rfam family "Small nucleolar RNA SNORA67", at positions 18 to 143 of the family's 143-position model. From Rfam's summary of the family: U67 belongs to the H/ACA class of snoRNAs which are thought to guide the sites of modification of uridines to pseudouridines. The record is from Rfam by way of RNAcentral. Lineage: Eukaryota; Metazoa; Chordata; Mammalia; Chiroptera; Vespertilionidae.
AUCCAUUUGUAUACACACGAACAUAUAUGUAUGCAUGUACACAUGGAAAAAUAAAUAAGAAUAGCUAGUAAUAGGAAAGUAGCAACUUGGAAUAGAAUCUGGCAUGCCUCAGGUUUUCAGGGGAGGUGAUACAUCAUUUCCUUGGCCUUCCUUUGGCUGCCUACAUGU